Molecule: long non-coding RNA, 561 nt
Organism: Triticum aestivum (bread wheat)
Lineage: Eukaryota; Viridiplantae; Streptophyta; Magnoliopsida; Poales; Poaceae
Exons: 2
Source: RefSeq, a predicted model, not a curated record
CUUAUCUUCUCUCGUGCUUGUCUCAUGCAUGUGGGAGCAUCCUAUCCCAUCUUCUCUUGUGAUAGAUCUUCCCUAUAAAUAGGCCAAAGUGUUAUGCAAAUACUCAUAUCAGUCAAGUUCAGAGUUAGCUCAAGGUCCAUUUAGCUGCUCACGGAAUCAAGGAUGAGCUGCGCCGCCCCAAAAGCCCCCGCCGGAGAGGAGAAGAAGACGUCAUGGCCGGAGGUAGUGGGAAAGUCCAUCGAGGAGGCCAAGGAGAUCAUCCUUAAGGACAUGCCUGACGCCGACAUCGAUGUCCUUCCUGCUGGCUCGGCGGCGACCCUCGACUUCAGGACCAACCGUGUCCGCAUCAUCGUCGACACUGUCUCGACCACCCCUUCCAUUGGUUAGCAAGCUUUGUGAGCGAGAGACAAAAUGGAUGCACUUAUGCAUGCUGAUGAAUAAGUAGUUUCAGUAAUCAUGGAUGAAUAAAUACACGCUGACCAAUGGCGUGUGUCGAUGUACUUAUGGUUCAAUGGACUUGACCAGUUAUUUUUAAUAUAUGAGAUGUCGGCUUGUUGUUCA